Molecule: ribosomal RNA, 91 nt
Filed under: Collinsella sp.
Lineage: Bacteria; Bacillati; Actinomycetota; Coriobacteriia; Coriobacteriales; Coriobacteriaceae
Also listed under: 1 other name
Source: RNAcentral
CGCCCGGUCCCGUUCCGAACCCGGAAGCUAAGCCCCAUCGCGCCGAGAGUACUGCGGGGUCAGCCCGUGGGAGGCCAGGGCGCCGCUGACC